RNAcentral lists this ribosomal RNA (460 nucleotides) under uncultured bacterium. Its description in RNAcentral is "partial 16S ribosomal RNA". It matches the Rfam family "Bacterial small subunit ribosomal RNA", at positions 338 to 795 of the family's 1533-position model. The record is from RNAcentral.
CCUACGGGUGGCAGCAGUGAGGAAUAUUGGUCAAUGGGCGCGAGCCUGAACCAGCCAAGUAGCGUGAAGGAUGACUGCCCUACGGGUUGUAAACUUCUUUUAUAAAGGAAUAAGGUGAGGCACGUGUGCCUUUUUGUAUGUACUUUAUGAGUAAGGAUCGGCUAACUCCGUGCCAGCAGCCGCGGUAAUACGGAGGGUCCGAGCGUUGUCCGGAUUUAUUGGGUUUAAAGGGAGCGUAGAUGGGUUGUUAAGUCAGUUGUGAAAGUUUGCGGCUCAACCGUAAAAUUGCAAUUGAUACUGGCAGGCUUGAGUACAGUUGAGGUAGGUGGAAUUCGUGGUGUAGCGGUGAAAUGCUUAGAGAUCACGAAGAACUCCGAUUGCGAAGGCAGCUUACUAAACUGCCACUGACAUUGAUGCUCGAAAGUGUGGGUAUCAAACAGGAUUAGAUACCCCAGUAGUC